GACGAACGCUGGCGGCGUGCUUAACACAUGCAAGUCGAACGGAAAGGCCCUGCUUUUGUGGGGUGCUCGAGUGGCGAACGGGUGAGUAACACGUGAGUAACCUGCCCUUGACUUUGGGAUAACUUCAGGAAACUGGGGCUAAUACCGGAUAGGAGCUCCUGCUGCAUGGUGGGGGUUGGAAAGUUUCGGCGGUUGGGGAUGGACUCGCGGCUGAUGAGCUUGUUGGUGGGGUAGUGGCUUACCAAGGCUUUGACGGGUAGCCGGCCUGAGAGGGUGACCGGCAACAUUGGGAGUGAGAUACGGCACAGAGUCCUACGGGAGGCAGCAGUGGGGAAUAUUGCACAAUGGGCGGAAGCCUGAUGCAGCAACGCCGCGUGCGGGAUGACGGCCUUCGGGUUGUAAACCGCUUUCGCCUGUGACGAAGCGUGAGUGACGGUAAUGGGUAAAGAAGCACCGGCUAACUACGUG
RNAcentral lists this ribosomal RNA (468 nucleotides) under uncultured bacterium. RNAcentral's name for it is "partial 16S ribosomal RNA". It matches the Rfam family "Bacterial small subunit ribosomal RNA", at positions 28 to 507 of the family's 1533-position model. The record is from RNAcentral.